UUUCAGAAAGCUGAAACGUACGUAAGAUCUUCCUAGUGUUGUUGUAACUGCAUCAAGGUGAACUUUUUUUUGUUCCAGGCUGAAGGACUCGUCUGGCACAGCACUUCCUUCAGGAACCCCCAACAGCAGAUGCGACCGUUGCCUUUUCUGGCCAUGGCACUUGGUAGAGCAAGCGACCCGUGCACAACUUGCAAGCUGCAAACCCUCUAAAAUCGGCACUCGCACAUGUGAACCCCAGUGCUGAUUUGCUAAGGAUGGGCUCCAAAUACUUACAACCAGGAGAAGAGCUUGUUGGGGAGCCGGCUUCUAUCAGACUAUGUGUUGUCUGGCUGAAUCAGCAGGUAGCACUGAUGGCAUACGGCACCGCCGCGCUUAUCACAGGCGCUGCACAUUCCCUCCACCACCAGCACGCAGGAAAGAUGGCAAAAACCGAGCUUGAAGGUCAGAACCACCUUCGGGUGAAGAAAAGCACAAGACCUGUUCCCACUGAGGCUGGUCCCAAACUCUCCAUCCCCAUCACUUCUGCACCCACGGGAAAGCAGUGA
RNAcentral lists this long non-coding RNA (545 nucleotides) under Calidris pugnax (ruff). RNAcentral describes it as "lncRNA (ENSCPUG00000002703.1)". Lineage: Eukaryota; Metazoa; Chordata; Aves; Charadriiformes; Scolopacidae. The record is from RNAcentral.